GAUGCACAUGCCGCGUGUAUGAGAGGCCUUCGGGUUGUAAAGUACUUUCAGCGGGGAGGAAGCGAUAGGUUAAUAACCUUGUCGAUUGACGUUACCCGCAGAAGAGCACCGGCUAACUCCGUGCCAGCAGCCGCGGUAAUACGGAGGGUGCAAGCGUUAAUCGGAAUUACUGGGCGUAAAGCGCACGCAGGCGGUCUGUCAAGUCGGAUGUGAAAUCCCCGGGCUCAACCUGGGAACUGCAUUCGAAACUGGCAGGCUAGAGUCUUUAGAGGGGGGUAGAAUUCCAGGUGUAGCGGUGAAAUGCGUAGAGAUCUGGAGGAAUACCG
RNAcentral lists this ribosomal RNA (326 nucleotides) under uncultured Enterobacter sp. RNAcentral's name for it is "bacterial SSU rRNA". It matches the Rfam family "Bacterial small subunit ribosomal RNA", at positions 385 to 711 of the family's 1533-position model. The record is from RNAcentral. Lineage: Bacteria; Pseudomonadati; Pseudomonadota; Gammaproteobacteria; Enterobacterales; Enterobacteriaceae.